This is a long non-coding RNA of Orcinus orca (killer whale), 556 nucleotides long. RefSeq lists it as uncharacterized. The record is from RefSeq and is a predicted model, not a curated record. The transcript has 3 exons. Lineage: Eukaryota; Metazoa; Chordata; Mammalia; Artiodactyla; Delphinidae.
AGGAAGCAGGUGAGCUUCUCCAUUCCUGCCUGCAAUUUAGAGGUAGAAGGCCCGGAGGCCCAGGAGCUGGUGGAGCUGUAACAUGUAAGUCACCCGGCUCAUCACGUGAAGGAAAGCUGCCCUCCAACCAGGAACACCUGCCUUGGAAUAUUAUGUCAGAGCCCCUGGGCUGGGAGCUGCAGCCCCUCCUACACAGCAACUCAGCAAGCACCACCUCAACCCCUGCUCCCUUCAUCUUCUCUGAGUCCAUAGUGGCUGAAGACAUGAGGCCGGGGAUGGGUCCUAGUCCACUUCCUCUGCUUGCUGGAGGAAUAAUCAGGUGAUGGGACAUGAAGGAGCUUAAAAGAGGGUGUGGCACAAAACAAGGCUAAGUAUAUAAUAGCUGGGUUUUGGAGGGUUUUGUUUGUUUGAAUUUAUUUUAUUUAUUUGGCUGCACCAGGUCUUAGUUGCGGCACACAGGAUCUUUUUAGUUGUGGCAUGCGGACUCUUAGUUGUGGCAUGCGGGAUCUAGUUUCCUGACCAGGGAUCGAACCUGGGCCCCCUGUAUUGAGAGUGU